GACGAACGCUGGCGGCGUGCUUAACACAUGCAAGUCGUACGGUAAGGCCCUUUCUGGGGUACACGAGUGGCGGACGGGUGAGUAACACGUGCGUAAGCUGCCCACCACUUUGGGAUAACGCUAGGAAGCUAGUGCUAAUACUAGAGAUGUGCUUCUGCUGCAUGGUGGGGGUUGGAAAGCUCCGGCGGUUGUGGAUGUACUCGCGGGCUAUCAGCGUGUUGUUGGGGGAGUGGCCUACCACGGCGGCGGCGGGUAGCCGGCCUGAGAGGGUGACCGGCCACAUUGGGACUGAGGUACGGCCCAGACUCCUACGGGUGGCAGCAGUGGGGAAGAUUGCACAAUGGGCGCAAGCCUGAUGCAGCAGCGCCGCGGGCGGGAUGACGGCCUUCGGGUUGUAAACCGCUUUCAGCAGGGACGAAGCGUUUUGUGACGGUACCUGCAGAAGAAGCACCGGCUAACUACGUG
This 465-nucleotide ribosomal RNA is filed under the name uncultured bacterium. Its description in RNAcentral is "partial 16S ribosomal RNA". It matches the Rfam family "Bacterial small subunit ribosomal RNA", at positions 28 to 507 of the family's 1533-position model. The record is from RNAcentral.